GCCUGGUUGGCUUAGUCAGUAAGGCACAUGACUCUUGAUCUCCUGGUUGUGAGUUCAAGCCCCACAUUGGGUG
This 73-nucleotide transfer RNA is filed under the name Canis lupus familiaris (dog). It matches the Rfam family "tRNA". From Rfam's summary of the family: Transfer RNA (tRNA) molecules are approximately 80 nucleotides in length. Their secondary structure includes four short double-helical elements and three loops (D, anti-codon, and T loops). RNAcentral also lists the same sequence under 1 other name. The record is from Rfam by way of RNAcentral. Lineage: Eukaryota; Metazoa; Chordata; Mammalia; Carnivora; Canidae.